RNAcentral lists this ribosomal RNA (480 nucleotides) under Pseudomonas sp. EA_R_48. RNAcentral describes it as "bacterial SSU rRNA". It matches the Rfam family "Bacterial small subunit ribosomal RNA", at positions 37 to 513 of the family's 1533-position model. The record is from RNAcentral. Lineage: Bacteria; Pseudomonadati; Pseudomonadota; Gammaproteobacteria; Pseudomonadales; Pseudomonadaceae.
UGGCGGCAGGCCUACACAUGCAAGUCGAGCGGUAGAGAGGUGCUUGCACCUCUUGAGAGCGGCGGACGGGUGAGUAAUGCCUAGGAAUCUGCCUGGUAGUGGGGGAUAACGCUCGGAAACGGACGCUAAUACCGCAUACGUCCUACGGGAGAAAGCAGGGGACCUUCGGGCCUUGCGCUAUCAGAUGAGCCUAGGUCGGAUUAGCUAGUUGGUGAGGUAAUGGCUCACCAAGGCGACGAUCCGUAACUGGUCUGAGAGGAUGAUCAGUCACACUGGAACUGAGACACGGUCCAGACUCCUACGGGAGGCAGCAGUGGGGAAUAUUGGACAAUGGGCGAAAGCCUGAUCCAGCCAUGCCGCGUGUGUGAAGAAGGUCUUCGGAUUGUAAAGCACUUUAAGUUGGGAGGAAGGGCAUUAACCUAAUACGUUAGUGUUUUGACGUUACCGACAGAAUAAGCACCGGCUAACUCUGUGCCAGCA